GGAUGCUAAUACCGCAUACGUCCUACGGGAGAAAGCAGGGGAUCUUCGGACCUUGCGCUAAUAGAUGAGCCUAAGUCGGAUUAGCUAGUUGGUGGGGUAAAGGCCUACCAAGGCGACGAUCUGUAGCGGGUCUGAGAGGAUGAUCCGCCACACUGGGACUGAGACACGGCCCAGACUCCUACGGGAGGCAGCAGUGGGGAAUAUUGGACAAUGGGGGGAACCCUGAUCCAGCCAUGCCGCGUGUGUGAAGAAGGCCUUAUGGUUGUAAAGCACUUUAAGCGAGGAGGAGGCUACUUUAGUUAAUACCUAGAGAUAGUGGACG
This 322-nucleotide ribosomal RNA is filed under the name Acinetobacter baumannii. RNAcentral's name for it is "bacterial SSU rRNA". It matches the Rfam family "Bacterial small subunit ribosomal RNA", at positions 158 to 474 of the family's 1533-position model. The record is from RNAcentral. Lineage: Bacteria; Pseudomonadati; Pseudomonadota; Gammaproteobacteria; Moraxellales; Moraxellaceae.